Long non-coding RNA from Lagopus muta (rock ptarmigan), 417 nucleotides. RefSeq lists it as uncharacterized. Lineage: Eukaryota; Metazoa; Chordata; Aves; Galliformes; Phasianidae. The record is from RefSeq and is a predicted model, not a curated record. The transcript has 3 exons.
UGGAGAUCUCUGCUAACCUGAGGCUUUUGGAAGAAUCUUAAUGCAUGUAGUUGUGCCACUUGCAUCUGUCUUCAUGUUCAAAAUCUUGACUGAUUGGAGACUACAGCAGAGGUCAAAAAUACUAAGAGAACAACUGCUUGGCAACAGUGAACAGUAAAUACUGAAAAUGAAACACUGGAAAACGGAAAGGAGUUUAAAACUUCAGUGCACAAACUGGUCUGUGGAAAAAUAAAAAUGAAGACACUUUUCUUCUCCCAAUCUACUGUGCUGUGAUGUGGACUUAAAGACAGGAGACUUUUUCAUGAGAUGUCAAUACUUCAGCAUUUUUUUUUCCACACAUAUGAUAUGUCCAGAAUCAGAAUAGCAGCAACUAGCAGUCAUUGAUGGAGUCUCCUGUUCCAUACACCUACCUCCACU